Long non-coding RNA from Agrilus planipennis (emerald ash borer), 572 nucleotides. RefSeq lists it as uncharacterized. Lineage: Eukaryota; Metazoa; Arthropoda; Insecta; Coleoptera; Buprestidae. The transcript has 4 exons. The record is from RefSeq and is a predicted model, not a curated record.
UUUAUUUAUUAAAAAGGAAAGACAAUUCCUAAUACAUAUUUGUAGUAAUUCAAAGGCACUUUAUAUUCAUAUGCACAUUGGAAAAAUUUAAUAAAGGCUGUAACUGAAUAUCUGCACAUGACACAAACCAUUUUUGUUUUGAAGAAUAAGUUAUUCCUUUGUCUCCAUUUGGCCUCAAAGAAGAGUCAUAAAAAGGACUUCCUCCCAUGGAAAUACGUUAACGAUCAGAGCGGAUUGCCGAAGAAUGAAUUUGUGACAUGUAAUUGGUUACUGUUUGGGGGCAUUAAAGGUUGUAGGACUGAAAGAUUGUCUAACAAGUUAGAAGGAAUUGGUGCUACAAAAACAAUUGAUGCUUUUAAUGUCUUCACCUUGAGGAAUUAUGCAGUUAAUUUUGCCCCUGAGAGUGGGAGGCAAUUGGAAAUUAGUUUGGAAGCCACUGGAAACAACAAAUUAUCUGGAGUGGCGUCCCUCCUAGAUUUGGUUUGCUCAUCAUACCGGUAGACUUUAGAACGCUACUUUCUACAAUUGGUGAAGGUGUUCUUAAUUAAUAGUGUAAUUAAUAUGGUUUUUGU